CCGCAUCAGGAUGGGCCCGCGGCCCAUUAGCUUGUUGGUGGGGUAACGGCCUACCAAGGCUUCGAUGGGUAGCUGGUCUGAGAGGACGAUCAGCCACACUGGGACUGAGACACGGCCCAG
This 120-nucleotide ribosomal RNA is filed under the name uncultured bacterium. Its description in RNAcentral is "partial 16S ribosomal RNA". It matches the Rfam family "Bacterial small subunit ribosomal RNA", at positions 215 to 334 of the family's 1533-position model. The record is from RNAcentral.